GGGGGAAUAUUGGACAAUGGGCGAAAGCCUGAUCCAGCCAUGCCGCGUGUGUGAAGAAGGUCUUCGGAUUGUAAAGCACUUUAAGUUGGGAGGAAGGGCAGUAAGCGAAUACCUUGCUGUUUUGACGUUACCGACAGAAUAAGCACCGGCUAACUCUGUGCCAGCAGCCGCGGUAAUACAGAGGGUGCAAGCGUUAAUCGGAAUUACUGGGCGUAAAGCGCGCGUAGGUGGUUCGUUAAGUUGAAUGUGAAAGCCCCGGGCUCAACCUGGGAACUGCAUCCAAAACUGGCGAGCUAGAGUAGGGCAGAGGGUGGUGGAAUUUCCUGUGUAGCGGUGAAAUGCGUAGAUAUAGGAAUGAACACCAGUGGCGAAGGCGACCACCUGGGCUCAUACUGACACUGAGGUGCGAAAGCGUGGGGAGCAAACAGG
This 429-nucleotide ribosomal RNA is filed under the name Pseudomonadota bacterium. Its description in RNAcentral is "Proteobacteria bacterium partial 16S ribosomal RNA". It matches the Rfam family "Bacterial small subunit ribosomal RNA", at positions 355 to 776 of the family's 1533-position model. Lineage: Bacteria; Pseudomonadati; Pseudomonadota. The record is from RNAcentral.